This 321-nucleotide long non-coding RNA is filed under the name Ananas comosus (pineapple). Its description in RNAcentral is "long non-coding RNA (ACOM_LNC011907)". Lineage: Eukaryota; Viridiplantae; Streptophyta; Magnoliopsida; Poales; Bromeliaceae. The record is from RNAcentral.
UUCUCACUUCGGAAUUCGCACACACUCUAACCAGGAGCAACUAAGACCCCAAACCGUUACAAAUUCCCGGAUUGGAUCACAAUCGUACUUUCGGUAUACUAUCAAUCGCACGACACGUUUUAUCGAGCACACGUAUCACUACCGGCUACUAUGCACCUAAUGCAAGUCACCAAUCCCACGAGUGAUCCAUGGUAUACUUCACACCUAGCAAUGCUUAAGUGCUACUGCCAAUACACUCUUUUAACUGAACUUAACCCGCACUCCACGAGCAACUAUACUCGAACGUCAUACACCUCUAUAGCAUUCCACACUAAGUCCAGU